CCUUACCUGGUCUUGACAUCCACAGAACUUACCAGAGAUGGCUUGGUGCCUUCGGGAACUGUGAGACAGGUGCUGCAUGGCUGUCGUCAGCUCGUGUUGUGAAAUGUUGGGUUAAGUCCCGCAACGAGCGCAACCCUUAUCCUUUGUUGCCAGCGGUUCGGCCGGGAACUCAAAGGAGACUGCCAGUGAUAAACUGGAGGAAGGUGGGGAUGACGUCAAGUCAUCAUGGCCCUUACGACCAGGGCUACACACGUGCUACAAUGGCGCAUACAAAGAGAAGCGACCUCGCGAGAGCAAGCGGACCUCAUAAAGUGCGUCGUAGUCCGGAUUGGAGUCUGCAACUCGACUCCAUGAAGUCGGAAUCGCUAGUAAUCGUAGAUCAGAA
RNAcentral lists this ribosomal RNA (385 nucleotides) under Enterobacter sp. UR09. RNAcentral's name for it is "bacterial SSU rRNA". It matches the Rfam family "Bacterial small subunit ribosomal RNA", at positions 969 to 1354 of the family's 1533-position model. The record is from RNAcentral. Lineage: Bacteria; Pseudomonadati; Pseudomonadota; Gammaproteobacteria; Enterobacterales; Enterobacteriaceae.